This 501-nucleotide ribosomal RNA is filed under the name uncultured Clostridium sp. RNAcentral describes it as "bacterial SSU rRNA". It matches the Rfam family "Bacterial small subunit ribosomal RNA", at positions 903 to 1382 of the family's 1533-position model. Lineage: Bacteria; Bacillati; Bacillota; Clostridia; Eubacteriales; Clostridiaceae. The record is from RNAcentral.
CGCCUUGCCAGCCCGCUCAGAAACUUAAAGGAAUUGACGGGGCCCGCACAAGCAGCGGAGCAUGUGGUUUAAUUCGAAGCAACGCGAAGAACCUUACCUAGACUUGACAUCUCCUGAAUUACCCGUAACUGGGGAAGCUCUUCGGAGCAGGAAGACAGGUGGUGCAUGGUUGUCGUCAGCUCGUGUCGUGAGAUGUUGGGUUAAGUCCCGCAACGAGCGCAACCCUUAUCGUUAGUUGCUACCAUUAAGUUGAGCACUCUAGCGAGACUGCCCGGGUUAACCGGGAGGAAGGUGGGGAUGACGUCAAAUCAUCAUGCCCCUUAUGUCUAGGGCUACACACGUGCUACAAUGGUGAGGACAAAGAGACGCAAGACCGCGAGGUGGAGCAAAUCUCACAAACCUCAUCCCAGUUCGGAUUGCAGGCUGAAACUCGCCUGCAUGAAGCCGGAGUUGCUAGUAAUCGCGAAUCAGCAUGUCGCGGUGAAUACGUUCCCGGGCCUU